RNAcentral lists this long non-coding RNA (646 nucleotides) under Heterocephalus glaber (naked mole-rat). RNAcentral's name for it is "lncRNA (ENSHGLG00100030342.2)". Lineage: Eukaryota; Metazoa; Chordata; Mammalia; Rodentia; Bathyergidae. The record is from RNAcentral.
AGUGGCUGAGGGGUUAGGGACAUGGAGAACUGAAAGCCCUUGAAUUUGUGUAGGAGUGGCAUUAUUUCUUCCUUAAAUAUUUGAAAGAUUUCACCAUCUGGACCUGAAGUUUUCAUUGUGGGGAUCAUCAUCAUCAUCAUCAUCAUCAUCAUCAUCAUCAUCAUCAUCAUCAAUAAGAGCAGAGUGGGGUCUUGCUUUGAGCAUGGUGAAAAUGGGUCGUUUGCUGAAAAGUUGCAUGAGUGACCGAACCUCUGCGACUGAGAGCCGACACAGGCCUUGUCCCGAUCAUCACCUCCCUGCCCCAGAGGAGACUGGAUUGUGCAGGACUCCUGGCCAUUCUGAUCUAGGAGACAGGGCGUGGCAAAACUGGCUGGGGAAACUGUCAAUCACCAGUUCCCAGGUAACUUGAAGACCCAUAUGUGGAACUUCCCACAAGCCUUCACGCAGUGUGGACAGCGUAAAAAGGACUGGCUCUCACGGAAAGCCUAUCGUGCGUGAGUUUGCACAGUAGCCUGGCGUGUCUGAUAGCGGCGUGUACUUCUAUUUUUGCUUUUACCGUCUUUUUCUUUUUGUCCGGCCCAAGCUUGCUCUGCAGAGCUGAUUUCUCCUAUACCCUUUUACCCCACACUUUUCAAAUAAACUUUUU